AAGGGCCCAAACGGGGAAGGGGUUCCCCCGAGGGGCUCCCUGAAAAAGGGGGCUUUUCCUUGGUCUAAAAACCCUCGGGAAUAAGAGGGGGGCAAGACUGGUGUCAGCCGCCGCGGUAACACCAGCCCCUCGAGUGGUGGGGAUGAUUAUUUGGCCUAAAGCGUCCGUAGCCGGCCGGGUAAGUCUCCCGUUAAAUCCAGCGUCUCAAGCGUUGGACUGCGGGAGAUACUGCCUGGCUAGAGAGUGGGAGAGGUGUACGGUAUUCUGGGGGUAGGGGCGAAAUCCUUUGAUCCCCGGAGGACCACCAGUGGCGAAGGCUGUACACUAGAACACGUCUGACGGUCAGGGACGAAAGCUGGGGUAGCGAACCGGAUUAGGUACCCGGGUAGUCCCAGCCGUAAACGAUGCAUGCUAGGUGUUGGGUUGGCCACGAGCCACCCCAGUGCCGCAGGGAAGCCGUUAAGCAUGCCGCCUGGGAAGUACGAUCGCAAGAUUGAAACUUAAAGGAAUUGGCGGGGGA
Molecule: ribosomal RNA, 520 nt
Filed under: uncultured archaeon
Lineage: Archaea
Description: bacterial SSU rRNA
Rfam family: Archaeal small subunit ribosomal RNA
Source: RNAcentral